This 405-nucleotide ribosomal RNA is filed under the name Centropomus parallelus. RNAcentral describes it as "partial large subunit ribosomal RNA". It matches the Rfam family "Bacterial large subunit ribosomal RNA", at positions 2042 to 2592 of the family's 2925-position model. Lineage: Eukaryota; Metazoa; Chordata; Actinopteri; Centropomidae. The record is from RNAcentral.
UUGAUCUUCCCGUGCAGAAGCGGGGAUUUUAACAUAAGACGAGAAGACCCUAUGGAGCUUCAGGCUCCAGAACAGACUAUGUUAAAAACCCUCCCACAAAAGACAAAACUUAUUAGACCCUGUUCCAAUGCCUUUGGUUGGGGCGACCGCGGGGAAACGAAAAACCCCCAUACGGACCGGGAGCAUCACUCCUCCCAAAACCAAGAGCAACACCUCUAAGUAACAGUACAUCUGACCAACAAAUGAUCCGGCACAGCCGAUCAACGGACCGAGUUACCCUAGGGAUAACACCGCAAACCCCUUCUAGAGCCCAUAUCGACAAGGGGGUUUCCUUCCUCGAUGUUGGAUCAGGACAUCCUAUUGGUGCAGCUCGCUAUUAAGGGUUUCGUUUGUUCAAACGUUAAA